GAUGAACGCUGGCGGCGUGCUUAACACAUGCAAGUCGAGCGAAGCACCUUGACGGAUUUCUUCGGAUUGAAGCCUUGGUGACUGAGCGGCGGACGGGUGAGUAACGCGUGGGUAACCUGCCUCAUACAGGGGGAUAACAGUUGGAAACGGCUGCUAAUACCGCAUAAGCGCACAGUACCGCAUGGUACGGUGUGAAAAACUCCGGUGGUAUGAGAUGGACCCGCGUCUGAUUAGGUAGUUGGUGGGGUAACGGCCUACCAAGCCGACGAUCAGUAGCCGACCUGAGAGGGUGACCGGCCCCAUUGGGACUGAGACACGGCCCAAACUCCUACGGGAGGCAGCAGUGGGGAAUAUUGCACAAUGGGGGAAACCCUGAUGCAGCGACGCCGCGUGAGCGAUGAAGUAUUUCGGUAUGUAAAGCUCUAUCAGCAGGG
This 434-nucleotide ribosomal RNA is filed under the name uncultured bacterium. RNAcentral's name for it is "bacterial SSU rRNA". It matches the Rfam family "Bacterial small subunit ribosomal RNA", at positions 28 to 444 of the family's 1533-position model. The record is from RNAcentral.